Molecule: ribosomal RNA, 442 nt
Filed under: uncultured bacterium
Lineage: Bacteria
Description: partial 16S ribosomal RNA
Rfam family: Bacterial small subunit ribosomal RNA
Source: RNAcentral
CCUACGGGAGGCAGCAGUGGGGAAUAUUGGGCAAUGGGCGCAAGCCUGACCCAGCAACGCCGCGUGAAGGAAGAAGGCUUUCGGGUUGUAAACUUCUUUUAAGAGGGAAGAGCAGAAGACGGUACCUCUUGAAUAAGCCACGGCUAACUACGUGCCAGCAGCCGCGUUAAUACGUAGGUGGCAAGCGUUGUCCGGAUUUACUGGGUGUAAAGGGCGUGCAGCCGGGAAGACAAGUCAGAUGUGAAAUCCCGGGGCUCAACCGCGGAACUGCAUUUGAAACUGUUUUUAGUGAGUACCGGAGAGGUCAUCGGAAGUCCGUGGGGAGCGGUGAAAUGCGUAGAGAUAAGGAAGAACAUCAGUGGCGAAGGCGGAUGACUGGACGGCAACUGACGGUGAGGCGCGAAAGCGUGGGGAGCAAACAGGAUUAGAUACCCCAGUAGUC